GACGAACGCUGGCGGCGUGCUUAACACAUGCAAGUCGAACGGAAAAGCCCUGCUUUUUUGGGGUUCUCGAGUGGCGAACGGGUGAGUAACACGUGAGUAACCUGCCCUUUACUUUGGGAUGACUUCAGGAAACUGGGGCUAAUACCUGAUAGGAGCUCCUGCUGCAGGGUGGGGGUUGGAAAGUUUCGGUGGUUGGGGAUGGACGCGCGGCUUAUCAGCUUGUUGGUGGGGGAGUGGCUUACCAAGGCUUUGGAGGGUAGCCGGCAUGAGAGGGUGAACGGCCACAUUGGGACUGAGAUACGGACCAGACUCCUACGGGAGGCAGCAGUGGGGAAUAUUGCACAAUGGGCGGAAGCCUGAUGCAGCAACGCCGCGUGCGGGAUGACGGCCUUCGGGUUGUAAACCGCUUUAGCCUGUGACGAAGCGUGAGUGACGGUAAUGGGUAAAGAAGCACCGGCUAACUACGUG
RNAcentral lists this ribosomal RNA (468 nucleotides) under uncultured bacterium. Its description in RNAcentral is "partial 16S ribosomal RNA". It matches the Rfam family "Bacterial small subunit ribosomal RNA", at positions 28 to 507 of the family's 1533-position model. The record is from RNAcentral.